AGGCUCAAGUUAGCUUCUGGGACUUAUGGGCUCAAGCUAUUGAGCAUAUGGAUAUGGUGUAGGUUAAAUGGGUGUUUAUGCAUUGGAAUUGAAUUGGGAUUACUUGGAGGUUUGUUGGUGACCAAGGCUUGUUUUGGGGCUGUUUGAUUGAGGUUGGAGGGGCUGUAAUUUUGAGUUGUGAGGCUGCCUUUGGUGAACUAAGUGAUCGGCCAAGAUGCACAUCGAGAGGCUCCUCGCUAGUUGUCUGGAUCCUGGAAAGCGAAGUAGUCCUUUGGUGUAUUUUAGUUUCCUGUUGUAUAUAUGUAUUUAGCUUACUCUCCAAGUAACUUAUGUAUGCUGCUCC
Molecule: non-coding RNA, 343 nt
Organism: Arachis ipaensis
Lineage: Eukaryota; Viridiplantae; Streptophyta; Magnoliopsida; Fabales; Fabaceae
Source: RefSeq, a predicted model, not a curated record